AUUUGUAUAGUCUAUAGACUAGGUCAUAACACUGAAGAUGUUAAGGAGGUUGUUUCAACCUACAAAUA
RNAcentral lists this transfer RNA (68 nucleotides) under Faughnia haani. RNAcentral's name for it is "tRNA-Phe". The record is from RNAcentral. Lineage: Eukaryota; Metazoa; Arthropoda; Malacostraca; Stomatopoda; Parasquillidae.